RNAcentral lists this ribosomal RNA (429 nucleotides) under Chloroflexota bacterium. Its description in RNAcentral is "Chloroflexi bacterium partial 16S ribosomal RNA". It matches the Rfam family "Bacterial small subunit ribosomal RNA", at positions 355 to 776 of the family's 1533-position model. Lineage: Bacteria; Bacillati; Chloroflexota. The record is from RNAcentral.
UGGGGAAUAUUGCACAAUGGGCGCAAGCCUGAUGCAGCCAUGCCGCGUGUGUGAAGAAGGCCUUCGGGUUGUAAAGCACUUUCAGCGGGGAGGAAGGCGAUAAGGUUAAUAACCUCAUCGAUUGACGUUACCCGCAGAAGAAGCACCGGCUAACUCCGUGCCAGCAGCCGCGGUAAUACGGAGGGUGCAAGCGUUAAUCGGAAUUACUGGGCGUAAAGCGCACGCAGGCGGUUUGUUAAGUCAGAUGUGAAAUCCCCGGGCUCAACCUGGGAACUGCAUCUGAUACUGGCAAGCUUGAGUCUCGUAGAGGGGGGUAGAAUUCCAUGUGUAGCGGUGAAAUGCGUAGAGAUGUGGAGGAAUACCGGUGGCGAAGGCGGCCCCCUGGACAAAGACUGACGCUCAGGUGCGAAAGCGUGGGGAGCAAACAGG